UAUAUAAAAUAAAAUAAUAAAGAACAUACUUAUCAUCUUUUUUCUUACAAUUACAAGUUUUCAGUGUGCCAUGUUGACCUAAAUAGGAUUUCCAAGCUGCCUUCCUACAUUAUUUUAAGGUUCUGUUGUUUCUGCUGUGAAACCCUUAAAUUUCAUAAUAGAAUAAAAACGAAUGUCAGAAAUGGUUAAAGGAUGUUUUUUUAAGCUUACUCAGUAACUAUCUUUCCAUAGAACCCAUAAUUUGCCAGCAAUGGAUAUAGUCCAUCCAAUGCAUUAAGGAGGGGAAUAUUAAACAGUUUUGGAUAUUUACCAUCAGAUCUAUAUGAAAAAUUUUUUCUUCCCUAGCAUUGUCCUUCAAACUGACUCAUAUAUACUUAUAUAUAUAUGCAUAUAUAUAUACAGGGAAUUGUCAUUUGUGACUGCACCUUCAUCUUUCAGAUAUUUUAAAUGUUAUAAGCUUUGGUAUUGUAAAACAUAUGAAUACUUAAUAUUGUGCUAUUUAACUAAUUGUAAUCAUAAGAUGUUCUGCUUUAACCUCAAUAAUCAAAGAUAUUAAAAGUCAGAACUGAGAAUGAAGCGUGAAAGAAAAUAUGAAAAGAAUAUUUGUGCAAGUAAAAAAGUCUGCUUGUAUUUUUCUGUUCAUUUUGAAUUACUUUAUUUCAUGUAGGUUUUAAAUCAGCCACUAGGCAGAACUGCAAAACUAGGCAACAAAGAUACACUGAAAUAUAUAUGUUGAUAUACUUAAGUAAAUAAUGAUAAUGGUAGCUAUUUCAUGCAAAAUAAUUUUUAAGAUAUGUAACACUCUCAGUUUUCACAAACCAGUAUCUGCACUGUCUGAAUAAUGUUUUUGUUCAUAUAAGAAGAGGCUAGGAACACAACUUUGAGACCAAAGAUUUGCAGUACUCUCAAUUCCCCAUGUUUCUCCUGAGAUAGUGGUGUGUGAAAGAUCUCCCACUCCAGGCAUGUUGCAAUUUGUUUGCUCUGGGAUUGGCCUGGUAACUCCAGGUGGUUUCUGUGAGAAUAAAAAGCAACCUGAUUUAGACUCCUACCUUAUAAAUGAACCUAAGCCUUUCAGUUGAAGUGAAGGAGCACGUCUGAUGAUUUUUUAGCUGUAAACCUUUCCCUAGCAUUUCCUACAGAAACAUCUACACAUGAUAACCUAACUUUACCAUCAGUACGUGUCUCUAGCAUUCCUUGCAGAGUACUCAUGACCUGAAUGGGCAAGAUGCUGCUGUAGCAUGUGGUGUACCAGGCCUCAGUGUCGCACUCUGAUGGACAAGUGAAUGAACUGCAGCCAGUUCCACAGCCUAGACAAAAGUUCUGUCAAGCAGCGAUCCUGGUGUAUGAAAAUAAGUGAAGAUGGUGCUGUAACAUCAGUCUGUCCACAAGGGACAUUAAUUAUUGCUGUAACAUCGGUCUGUCCACAAGGGACCACGUGAUUCCUGAAGUCAUAUUUAUUUGCAAACUAGAAACAAAGAAAGGCCAGACAGCUGGACUGGCAGUAAUUUAUGAAGGUUGAAAAUAAAGUAAAAGUUUCAAAUAAGGAUCUGGAGAAAAAAAAAAAAAGCGUAAUAAAAUCAAAAACCUCUUGGAAAGAAGGCAAAAAAGGGAAGAUAGCAGGUGGAUAUUUGGCCCAUAAAAACAAAUCAGCUGUAGUCAGUUUUUCCUUACCGGAGUGAUAUUGUCUCUCUGGUACAGAUUUAUUGAUAAACUAAUCUGAGGGUAGUGAGUAAAUGGCAGGUUUGCCUGAUGGGAAGUUAGUAGCUUAUCACUGUCUGUACUGAGUAACUUUUUCAUACUCAGAGGUUGUGUAUAUGAUCAUGUUUUCAAGUCUCUGAUCCUAAUAAAAGAUCCUCUCAUAAAAUGCUUAUUUUUCUGAGGGUUGCAAAGUGGCUUUUAAUAUUUUUGAGAAGUCCAUUAGCAAUAAUUUGCUGUGCUUAAAUUUAUGAGGCUCAGAGUUGUUAUUCUUCAGUAUUUUCUAGGUGUUAUUUUCACUGUAACUUUCUUGGACAUAUAUUUGUUUUCUUUCUUUUGUUAAAUUGUUUUACUUUCUUUCAUUUGGCAUCUUGGAAAGUUUUGAAGGAUGCUAAUGUAGCUAGUAUAGCAACAAGACACAAGGCAUUUGUUCUCUCCUUCUUCAGAAAGAAAAAAAAAACAACAACAAGAUAUUCAGAUAAAAAAAGAUAAAAAAAGAUCAGAACUUGAGAAUGGAAUAUAUAAAAAAGUAAAAUGCAAUUAGACUUUUCAGUCUAGAAAGGAAGUGACAGUAGUGGGAUAUGGUAGGGGUAAGUAAAAUGAUUAAUGGCACAGGAUAGGUCAACAAGCAAUAGCUAUUCUCUAUUUCUCAUACAGAAGCAGCAGGAAGCAUCAAAUGAAAUGAGCAGGCAGAUGGUUUAAAGCAAAAAGUACUCAAAAUGUGUAAUUAAAUUGGGGAGUUCAUUGCCACAGGAUGUUGUGGAUUCAAAAUAAUAUUAAUGCCUUCAGGAAACCAUUAGAUGAAUUAAUAUGGAAAAUAUCCAUUAAAAGUUGUAAAACAGUAAUUUGCAUCCCACUCUGGCUACCGAAUUACCUCAUCACAAAUUCUUGAAAGGGGAGAAGAUAUAUGUGGAAAAAAUACAAUAUGUACAAUAUUAUAUUUCCAAUAUAACAACACUCAGUUUUUAGAAUUUUCUUCACACCUUGAAAUACAUCUUAAAUAAUCAUAAAAGUAGAUGUUUUCUUGCUGAAUUUCACUUGGUGAAGAACUUUGGAAGUAAAUGUGGUUGUUUUUUUUUUCAGUUGGUUUAUGGGAUUAUUGAAUUCUAUUAAUGUUCAUUAUCAUGUCUAGUAAUGUUUGUUGAAUGUCUAUUAAUUCGAACAAUGAAAAAUUUUCUUGGUAUUAAUUUCUUGGUACUAAAAAUUUUCUUGGUAUUGCACUAAAAUAAUAUUGAAUAAGUCAAAAGACGAGUUUCUGUCUUCUCUUUGUGGCUACUACGUGUUGUCAUCAGUGACGCUAGCUUGCGUAUUUUCAUUUGCAGAAAUUUUUCUUAUGAUUUUCUUUUCCUAGCUAAUCAAACUAAAUAAUAACAUCUGCAAUACUGAAGAUUAUGUAAUUUGCUUGAAAUUCUGAAUACCAGGUUAAGCAGAAACACAGCCAAAGGUAUUUACUUAAAAUUGUGCUGGUUUUUAUCAUUUCAAAGUUUAAGUGAAAGAAAGUCAUAGAUAAAGGCAAAUAUUUCAGUCUGCUGCAGGGUGUCAUCUGUAAAAAAUUUCUUUCUCUGAAAUGGGAAAUACUGAGCAAUGGUUAGCCAUGGUUAGUUUGUCAAAAAUUCAGACCUACAAGUGGCUAUCACUGGUUUCAGUUUAUGUUUAAAAUUUCAAAACUUCCAAAACUUCCAAGCUGUAUAGUCUGUAAGAUGCGAUGUACAAAGUGUAGUGUUUCCAUUCUGUUAAGAAGAUGAUGGUAUACUGAAGGAAAGGAUUAAGGGCUGGGGUAUUAUCAAUUAUUUCCUUUCUCUCCACUCUUCAGUUCUGAAUGAAAAGAGCUAAAAUUCCCCUAAAUUUAUUUAUGAAUUACCUUCCAUGCUUUCUUUCCAGUCUCCACAGAUGAUGCAAGUUGCUGUUUUUCUCUUCAGAUGACCUGACCCAGGAAAGUUUCCUUGACUGGUCUCACAGCUGACCUGAUGCUCUUCCUAUUCAGAGUAGUCUUUCCUGCCAAGAAGGAUAGAAAUGGGAGAAAAUGCCAUUGAAGUGUACUUGUGUAUGUCCUGGCAAGAACUGUUAAAUUGGGACCUUAAAAUAUUAAAUUAUCAAUGUUAUUUUUAUGAUUUUAGGGCUACUGAAGAGCUUCUGGUAGCAGAGAACUGGCGUCACAACUGUCCUUAUAUCCUGGCAGUAUCAAGUUUGUUACAUGACUAGCACAUUCGUUCAGUCAUGUAAGACAAUAAGGAACUUAAUUCAUUUUAUAUGGGCUAGACUUCUUUCCCAUCUGAAUCUUGCUGAUACUCAAGGAACAACACCAGGCAGCAGUACAUGCUGGGGGCCUGUCAGCCUAGGAACAGAGCAGAAAAGGACCUGGAGGUCUUGGUGGACACCAAGUUGAACAUGUGAGUCAACAAUGCAUUCUUGCUGCUAAGUAGGCUAAUGGUAUUCUUUGCUGCAUUAGGCAAAAUAUCACCAGCAAAUCAAAGGAGAUGAUCUUUACCAUCUACUCAGUGUUGAUGAGGCUGCACCUACAGUCCUGGUCCAGUACUGGGCUCCUCAAAGCAAGAGGGACAUUGGCUUUCUGGAACAAGUCCAGUGUAGACCCAUCAAGAUGCUUCAAGGCCUGGGGAACCUCUCCUUUGAGGAGUGGCUGAGAGAGCUGAGAGUUGGAAGUGCUCCAUCUGGAGAAGAGGAGGUUCAAGGGGAUCUCAUCCAUGUCCAUAAAUACUUGAAGAGAGAGUGUAAAGAAGAUGGAGUCAGGCCCUUGUCAGUGAUGCCCAGUGUCUGGACAAAUGUGGUGGACACAAACACACAAACCCUAGAGGUUCCCUCUGCACAUCAGCAAGCACUUCUGUGCUGUGUGGAUGAUAGCCAGGGCACAGGUUGCUCAGAAAGGUGGUGGAGUCUUCUCCUUAGAGACCUGGUACCUGAAUGUAGUGUUAGAUCACAUGACCCCCAGAGGUCCCUUCUGACCUCAACCAUUCUGUGAUUAUCUUUCUGUGUUAUGUGGCUCAUGACUUAAUUUCCUGAUGUGUUAUGGGGUAGUGGGAGAUGUAUUAAAAAAGUAGCAAAACCAUGGCUAGGCACUAUAAAUUUUCAGACUGCUUCUGGAAUUUCUUGAUGUCCUGGACAAACUAGCAUCUAAAAAAUAAUUCCCAAGAUCAGUGAAAAAAAUUUCACAAGCUAGAGUGGACACUUGCAGAGCCUGCACUUGGCCAGUGCUAAGUAACACAUACACAGGCUGUUUCAUGUCCAGGAAAUCUUAACUGACUGAGAAAGAUAUAGCCAUAAUACUUCUUUCCUUUCUCUAUCUGGUUAUAAACACUAAAAUUUUAGACACUCAAUACCUCUGAGACUAUCUUCAUGUCAAAUGCAGUUGAAAUCCACAGUGUUUUUAAGAAAAUGCAAUUGGUUGAAGAGAUCCUUUUUUUUUUUGUUGUUUUUUUUGCAAGCACAGUAUAAACUGCAUUGUUGUAUUAGAAAUUAAACAUCGUAAAAUAUAACCCUGCCAAUUUCAGCUGACACACAGAAGUUAUUUGGUGUUUCUAUUUAUUUUCUAAGAAAACAAAACUGAUUUAGAAUAACAUAGUGUCAGGAAAAACAAACUGGUCUUACAGGGUUUGUAUAGAUGUUUACUGGAGCACAUUUUUAAGCAAUUAAGAUAUAAUAAAUGAAAAAAAAAAAGAGAGGAAAAAAAAAAACAACCUUGAAAGUAUUUCUAAGAGCCUUUUUCCUGUGCCAAAUUUAUUUUACACAUUGCACUCUUCAAGUUUUUACUAGAGAUACACUCAACUGAACAAAAUCUGUCUUAAAAAUGUCUCUGUAAAGGGAUUCAUCCAGAAAGAAUCAGAAUUCCAACUUUAUAUAAUUGGUUUAAUAAGAUUUUGAACUUUAGGCUGCCACUGGCUUUUUCUCCAGCUUACAAUGUUAACAACUUUAUUAUGAUGGAUGAUGAACACACAUCUCUCUGAUAGUAUGUAUUAUUUGCUUAUGGCAAUCUUCAGGAAUAGCUCAUACUAACAUACAUACUUACUAGUCAAAAAUGAUGUUAUCAGAGGUCCCACUCAAUACGAAAAAUAAAUAAGUAAACAAAUGAACAACAAAUAUUCUAAAUAUAAGCCAAACAUUUUGUCUAUCAGGCUAGUUAUUAACUAGUGUGAUAACUUCACACAAACAAAAGAGGUGAGUUACAGACAUUAAUCAUAUCUUAUGAUUAAUAUACAAAUAUGACUGUACUAAGAUUAUCUCUGAUAACAGAAAUAAGUAAUAUUCAUUACUAACAUUUUGAGUUCACAAUUCAGUAUAAUCUUCCAUCCUUGUUAAACAAUAGAUUGUCAAAAUAAUGUAUCUUGUAAACUAGUGUUGUUGGUAUUGGUUCAUUGUUCAUGUAGACAUCAGUUACAGUAUACCAAAUUCUAGCCAUAGCCCAAUAUACUAAACAUAGCCAACUGCGUUUCUUUUCCUGAAUUGUUCAGUUUCUCUGCACAGUGCUUCCAACAGAUUGCUAUAAUUUAAUAUUCAUAAUUUUCAUUGAGUUUUAAUGUUAAAAUCUUAAACAGCAGUAUUAAAGAAGCUCAUAAAAAUGACUCAUCUCCAGCAGCUUUCUUCCACGUUGCCCUCCUCCCCAUAAAAAGAAUACACAUAAAGUUCUCACUCAGAGCCUAAGAACCACUUCUUACAAAUUGCUGGGAAAGAUAAAAAUCAAUAUAUUAGAGGUUUAGGGGAUUAUUUAUGCCUAGGAUUGCAGCAUCUGAUGCACGGACUCAGAUGUGAAGAAUCCAAACCCUUUAUUACAAGUUCUCACAUCACUUAUAUACCCUCACAGGUUUUCUUUUUCUAGCUUUCCCAUCUGCCCCUACAACUUUCCCAUUCACCUUUACAUGUCAACAAAGCAUUCUACAAACACUCUUCAACCGUUCAUGCGGGUGCUUAUCCAAUCAGAGCUGUGAGCCAUUCUUUCUUAUUUUAGAGGUGUCCUUGGUUCUCAUGCUGUUUAUCUUGCUACACAGCUGAUGCUCUGAACAGUUUUUCUUGUAUUCCCACAUAGGAUGAUUACCAUUAGAAAAAACAGUAGAAUAUUUUUUUUUCCCCAAUUGAAUGUGACAUGUAUUCAGUACAGUUACGUAUUUAAAUUUCUAUUGAAACAUAGAAGUAAAGAAAGGUCUGUCACCAAUAAGAAUACAUCUGAUUUACAUUGGAAUUAUUUUUCCAUGUCACUGUUCUAGGUCACCUCUCUGCUUUUUGUUUCUUUUUCUACAGAAAGCAGAGGCUAUAAAUACUUCUUAUACUUCUUAUUCAGAGAUGCCAUUUUACAAUUGUCAUAGGUGUAAAUUAUUAAUAGGAUAUGAAGGUGAGGAGAACUCAGCUUGCUAAAUAGUCUUGUGUUAAAAAGUUUUUGUUGUAUUUUGUGUUCCCCUCCCUUACCCAUCAGUAAAAAACAUAUUGAGAGGGUGGAAAAAAAAAAAAAGAAAAACAGAAAUUAAAGAGGAAGUUCAUGGAAGAAAGACCAUAUGCAUCUUGAAGUACCUUUGUCUAAGUCUGAAGACAUUUCUUGCUUGAAAAACAUGAAUUUAAUUAAGAAUCAUACUUAGAACAAGUUAAAAUUCAGUUAUAUAAAUGUAAAGCAAGUAAAUGGAUAACUGUGGUAGGACUACCUACUACAUUCAAAGCUCCUUAGAGGCCUUCAGUUUCAAGAAUUAUAUAAUCUCCUUCAAGAUAGAAAGAAAAUGCAACAGCU
Molecule: long non-coding RNA, 7420 nt
Organism: Gallus gallus (chicken)
Lineage: Eukaryota; Metazoa; Chordata; Aves; Galliformes; Phasianidae
Exons: 2
Source: RefSeq, a predicted model, not a curated record